Molecule: RNA transcript, 2783 nt
Organism: Dendrobium catenatum
Lineage: Eukaryota; Viridiplantae; Streptophyta; Magnoliopsida; Asparagales; Orchidaceae
Gene name: exocyst complex component EXO70B1-like
Exons: 7
Source: RefSeq, a predicted model, not a curated record
CCUCGGCCACAGCCGACAAUUUCAACCUUAGAUUUUCUCUCUCACAUCUGACCUACCGAUCGGCUUCCGCUUCCAAGUACGGCGAAUGAAUAUUUUCAUUCACGGGCGAGCGUUUCUUCACAGGCGAUCGUUUCGUCUUAAUAGCCGAACGGCAUAAAAUGAAAGGGAACGCCACAGCCGAACGCUCUGACGAAUUCAUCUUCUCCCUCUCACCAAACGCUUCAAAUUUCGCUCCAUAGCUAUUAAGGGUCUUCUCGUUUCAUUCUUUGCUUUUGCAUGGAGAGUUUUGAAAGAGGCGUUAAAGUAGCGUCUUCUCCUUCUUCGUUCUUCCUGAGCUUCAUGUGAAUGAAGUUUUAAAAGUGUCCUUAAAGAAACUUCUUCGCUUCUUCCUUCUUCCUUCUUCGACAAAGAUUUUAUAUAAAUCCAAAUUUUGUUUGGUUUUUCCUCUCUACAUGGAACUACUCUUUUUGUUAAGUUGAUUUCAUCGCUUUUGGAUCCAAAUCCACUCCCUUGCUUUCAUCAAUCAACAUUCCAAAUCCUCACAACCCAUUUGAAGAAUCUGAAAGCUGGGACGGUCCCAUUGACUCCUUGUCUAUGAGAGUCGAGAGGCCUCCAUGGGGCCAGUCGAUCAUCUCCGCCUUCCAGAGCUGCAUGGGAGAUAAAUUCGUCCUUGACCGAGAAGAAGUAUUCCACGCCCAUCAACCGGCUUAGGAAGCUACUCAUAAACAAUAGAGCGCUCCAGGACACUAAUAUCAGACCAUUAUGAGGCACAACCCAACUUUUCAUGCAUGCUCUUUACUUGCACGUUGCUUCCUCUAGGAUGCAGAGGGUUCCGCGGGAUCAGCAAUGGAGGAGAUGAGGUCAGUGGCUCCAUUGUCGGGGCUCCAUCAAUUGAAGCUUAACGAAACCCGCGACUGCUCAACAGCUUCUAGGAUAUUUUCUCCAAUUAAUUCGGUCUUCUGAAAUUCUUCAACGUCUAACUGCCUCCGCUCGUCGUCAUCUCCUCCGGAUCCAUUCUCCAAUUAAUUCGGUCUCCUGUAAUUCUUCAACGUUUUUUCACUAUUUGGAUGCAUAAAGAUUUAUUAAACCGUCGAAACGUUUCCACCUUCGACCGUUCGGUGCCCGUAAGAUGACUGUCGCAUGUUCUCUUUCUCCCUUAUAUAAUUGGUAAAAUUAUUCUCACAUGUUCUCCCUUUAGCGCUUCUGUGAUUUGGGUUUCGUUUUUGGAUCUCUGCUAUUUCUACUUCAGCGAAUUUGUGAAUGUGGACACUAUUUCGGCUUCAAAUUUAGGCUCUCUACUCUUUCGUCUUCAAAGAUUAGAUGAACAGGAAGUAAAUAAUUCAUAAAGUUUUUCAUGAACUUUUGUCGGAGCAAGUAGGACUUCACCAUUGUAACAACAAAAGGUUGGCAGCUCGAAUUGAAAUAGCUUUGCAUUACAGUAAAAGCAUGAACGUCGGUGUUCGAGAAAAUGUAAUUCUGACAUAUUUGAUUCAUAAUCUAUAAUAGCAUCGUUCAUAUUUGAUACUUCAAUAUCUGUUUGUUCAAAGAUAAAAUAUAUUAAACAUUUAGAACUAUGAAAUAUAUAUGUUAAUUAUUUUUGUUCGAUAAAAAUGAACCUGUAGAAUUUGACAAUGAUGGCAAACAAGCAAUUUCUAAAUUAGAAAAUUGCUUUCUUUUUUUUUUUAGCAAUAUUGUUAGCUUGAAUUUUUUUUUUUUUCGUUUUUGCUCGGUAGACCGUUUAGCAUAUCGUUGCUUGUCAUAAUCUUUUUUUCUUUGAUCUUCUAUAGAAAAUAUAUGUAUAAAAAUUGUCAACAAUAUUAAUAGAUAUCAAUAAUUGCAAAAAAAACAACAACUAAAAAGUUAUAAAUAAAAUGAACAUGACUCAACAACGAUGUUCAUUGGAAGAGAAAAAAAUCAUAAUUUGCAAAUUUAGAAAAUUAAAGAAAAAAAUUCAAUCUAUUAUUGUAAGCUUAACAAUAAGAGGAGUUCGUGUAUAUAUGACUAAUUAUUCUCAGUAAAAGACUUAAUAUAAAGAAAAACAAACAAUACUCAGAUUUAAAGUCAAAUAUAAAUAAGAUUUUACAUAAAUUAUGCUACAAGUCAUUUUUAAUAUUUAAUAAAUGAAGAAAAAAAAUAUGAAUAGAAAACAAGUGCACAAGUGGGAUGAAAUAAUUUAGAGCAUAAAACAGAAUAGAUAAAUAAAAAUCAUGCAAUAAAAAAUAAUUAACAACAAAUUAGAGUAAAUAACAAUGACCAUCUUAAAGAAUUAGAAAAAAUAAGAAUUAAAUAAAAUAAACAUGAAUGGCUAACCUUCAAAUGGAAGUCUUAAUUCAAAUGUUAUCUAGAAGAAAUCAGAUUAUUGGAAUAAACAUUAAACUCAACAAAUGCACGUGCACAUACUCGUCUUUGCUUUACACUUCUUCUGCAACCGAUUCAUAACAGUCAACCUUCUGAUAUUAUUUUCAUUGUAAUCAUCUUCAACUCAAUAUUAUAAUUUAAGCUUCUGCAUCUACAUAUGUGCUUGUUUAAAAUUUUCAUACAUCAUUGUUUCUCUAAUCCUAAUGCUUUUUUUCUCUUAAUUUAAUAUGUUAUUAAAAAAAAAAACUUUUUGAUUGAAAAGUAUUGGAUUUGUUACUCAUAUAUCUCCAAUCAAGUGAAAUAAGUUUGCAGCAAAGGAUAAAUGCACUCUGGAUUGAACUAGCAUAAGAAAAUCACCAUAGCAACUAAAGAGUAAUUUAUCAAAUCUCAUUUUCGUAGAGGUUAAAGAAUACGACCCAAGUAUC